UACCUGGUUGAUCCUUUCAGUAUUCAUAUGCUCAUCUCAAAGAUUAAGUCAUGCAUAUGUAAGUAUGAACAAAUUCAGAUUGUAAAACUACGAAUGGCUCAUUAAAUCAGUUAUAAUUUUUUGAUAGUAUCUACUACUUGGAUAACCGUAGUAAUUCUAGAGCUAAUACGUGCAAAAAACUCUGACUUCUAGAAGGGAUGCAUUUAUUAGAUAAAAGGUUGACAUGGGCUCUUCCCGUUGCUGCAAUGAUUCAUUACAACUCAAUGGAUUGCACAGCCAUCUUAUCGGAGACACAUCAUUUAAAUUUCUACCCUAUCAAUUUUUGAUGGUAGGAUAGUGGCCUACCAUGGAGGUGAUGGGUGACGGAGAAUUAGGGUUCGAUUUUGAAGAGGGAGCUUGUGAAACGGCUACCACAUCUAAGAAAGGCAGCAGGUAUGUAAAUUACCCAAUCCUGACAUGGGGAGGUAGUGACAAUAAAUAACAUUACCGGGCUCAAUAGGUCUGGUAAUUGGAAUGAGUAAAAGCUAAAUCCCUUAACGAGGAUCCAUUGGAGGUCAAGUAUGGUGCCACCAACUACGGUAAUUCUAUCUAUAAUAGCAUAUAUUUAAGUUUUUGCAUUUAAAAAGCUCGUAGUUGUACUUUGGGAUGGGCCAGCUGGUCCGCCUAUAGUGUGCAUCGAUCAUCUCGUCCUUUUUAUCGAUGAUGCGCUCCUGGCCUUAACUUGAUGGGUCGUGCCUCCGGCGCUGUUACUUUGAUGAAAUUAGAGUGCUCAAAGAAAGCCUACACUCUUUAUACAUUAGCAUGGGAUAACAUUACAGGAUUUUGGUCCUAUUACGUUUGCCUUCGAGAUCAGAGUACUAAUUAACAGGGAUAGUCGGGGGCAUUCAUAUUUCAUAGUCAGAGGUAAAAUUCUUGAAUUUAUGAAAGCCAAACAACUACAAAAGCAUUUACCAAGGAUGUUUUUAUUAAUCAAGAACAAAAUUUGAGGGCUCAAAGACGAUCAGAUAGCGUCUUAGUCUCAACCAUAAAAGAUGCCGACCAGAGAUCGAUAGAUGUUGCUUUUAGAACUCCACCGGUACCUUAUAAGAAAUCAAAGUUUCGGCAAGGGGGAGUAUAGUCAUAAGGCUAAAACUUAAAGGAAUUAAUGGAAGGGAACCACCAAGAGUGAAGGCUGCUGCUAAAUUUGACUCAACACGGAGAAACUUACCUGGUCCAAACAUAGUAAGGAUUAACAAAUUGAGAGCUCUUUCUCAAUUAUAUGGGUGGUGGUGCAUGGACAUUUUUAGUUAGUAGAGCGAUUUAUCUGGUUAAUUCCAUUAAUGAAAGAGACCUCAGCUUGCUAACUAGCUAUGCGGAGGUAUUCCUUCGCAGCCAGCUUCUUAGAGGGACUACGACCUUUUAGGCCUAGGAAGUUUGAGGGAAAAAUAGGUCUGUGAUGCCCUUAGAUGUUUUGGGCUGUACGCAUGCUACGCUGAUAUAUUCAACAAGUUUAUAGCCUUGGCCGACAGGCCCGGGUAAUCUUUUAAAUUUUAGCAUGACGGGGAUAGAUCAUUGCAACUGUUGGUCUUCAAUGAGGAAUUACUAGUAAGCGCAAGUUAUUAGCUUGCAUUGACUACGUCCCUGACCUUUGUACACACUACCCGUCGCUCUUACCGAUUGAAUGAUCUAGUGAAAUAUUCAGAUCAUGGCAACGUAGGCGGUUGCUGCCUGCAACGUCACGAGAAGUCCAUUGAACCUUAUUAUUUAGAGGAAAGAGAAGUCAUAACAAGGCUUUCGUAGGUGAACCUGUGGAAGGAUCAUUA
Capsicum annuum is the source of this 1802-nucleotide non-coding RNA. The record is from Rfam. Lineage: Eukaryota; Viridiplantae; Streptophyta; Magnoliopsida; Solanales; Solanaceae.